RNAcentral lists this ribosomal RNA (938 nucleotides) under Bacteroides fragilis. RNAcentral describes it as "partial 23S ribosomal RNA". It matches the Rfam family "Bacterial large subunit ribosomal RNA", at positions 592 to 1532 of the family's 2925-position model. The record is from RNAcentral. Lineage: Bacteria; Pseudomonadati; Bacteroidota; Bacteroidia; Bacteroidales; Bacteroidaceae.
UGUGACGGCGUGCCUUUUGCAUAAUGAACCUACGAGUUACUUUUUCCGGCAAGGUUAAGCAUCUUGAGAUGUGGAUCCGAAGCGAAAGCGAGUCUGAACAGGGCGGAUAGUCGGAAGGAGUAGACGCGAAACCAAGUGAUCUACCCUUGGGCAGGUUGAAGGUUAGGUAACACUAACUGGAGGACCGAACCGAUAAGCGUUGAAAAGCUUCCGGAUGACCUGAGGGUGGGGGUGAAAGGCUAAUCAAACUUGGAGAUAGCUCGUACUCCCCGAAAUGCAUUUAGGUGCAGCCUUGAGAAUUACUAAUGUGAGGUAGAGCGACUGAUAAGAUGCGAGGGCUUCACCGCCUAUCAAGUCUUGAUAAACUCCGAAUGCGCAUUAGUUCGAUCUCAGGAGUGAGGGCAUGGGUGCUAAGGUCCAUGUCCUAAAGGAGAAGAAUCCAGACCAUCAGCUAAGGUCCCCAAAUAAACACUAAGUUGAACUAACGAAGUCAGAUUGCUAAGACAGCUAGGAUGUUGGCUUGGAAGCAGCCAUUCAUUUAAAGAGUGCGUAACAGCUCACUAGUCGAGGAGUUUGGCGUGGAUAAUAAUCGGGCAUCAAGUGUUUUACCGAAGCUAUGGGAUACGUAAGUAUCGGUAGGGGAGCAUUCCACUCUGCGUUGAAGGCGAAGCGUGAGCUUUACUGGAGCGUGUGGAAAAGCAAAUGUAGGUAUAAGUAACGAUAAAGGGGGUGAGAAACCCCCUCGCCGCAAGACUAAGGUUUCCUGAUCAACGCUAAUCGGAUCAGGGUUAGUCGGGUCCUAAGGCUCAGCCGAACGGUGAUGCCGAUGGCAGAACAGGUUAAUAUUCCUGUACUAGCAUUAAGAGUGACGUGGAGACGGAGGAGUGACAACGCCGCGGACUGACGGAAUAGUCCGUUAAAGGGUGUAGAUGUUGAUU